Molecule: RNA transcript, 1285 nt
Organism: Ziziphus jujuba (common jujube)
Lineage: Eukaryota; Viridiplantae; Streptophyta; Magnoliopsida; Rosales; Rhamnaceae
Exons: 5
Source: RefSeq, a predicted model, not a curated record
UAUCACUUAAAAUCGAUGCCUUUCCAAAUUUGGAAAAACAACUUUCCUUUCCUUUUCUUUUAUUUUGAUCAGUCAGAGUUUGCUGAGUCAUUGUUUCUACCUCAACAAACAGAUAUGGAGGAGAACAUACGUGCAUCUUUAGCUGGGAUGGAAUCCAUUUAUGAAUUGACCAGGGUUGUUAUUGAAAAAGACAGAAGGAUGUAAUCGAUGAAAAGAAUCGUGAAAUAAAGAGUUUGGAUGAAACUGUAUCUCAGUUAGUUAAGGAAAAAGAACAUAUUGGAUCUUUGCUUAGGAGUGCUUUGUCCAAGAGGAUGACAUCAAAUCCAUCUACCAAAACAAAUGAAUUGUUUCAAGUUGCAGAGAAUGGUUUACGAGAGGCUGGAAUUGAUUUCAAAUUUAGUAAGCAUGUUGGGGGAGGUUUCCAACUUCUAAUGACAAAAUGGAUGCUCAUGAGACAGAAGAUGAAAUAUAUAAUUUGGCUGGUGCUCUGGAGAAUAUUGUUAAGGAAUCUCAGCUUGAGAUCAUUGAGCUCGAGCAUUCUGUGGAGAAAUUAAGGGCCGAGUCGAGUUUACUUAAAGAUCACAUAGAGGCUCAAGCCAAGGGGCUUGGACAUAGAAUGCAUCAAAUUGAGGAACCUGCAGAGAAGGAGAGCGUGGCAAAUGAAAGUAUUGAAGGACUAACGAUGGACAUUGCUGCUGCUGAAGAAGAAAUUACAAGAUGGAAAGUGGCAGCAGAGGACGAAGCUGCUGCUGGUAGAGCUGUCGAACAAGAGUUUGUGGCAUAGCUGUCAGCACUUAAGCAGGAACUUGAGGAGGCAAAGGGAGCCAUUUUAGAGUCAGAGAAGAAGCUCAAGUUCAAAGAAGAGACAGCAGCAGCUGCCAUGGCUGCAAGAGAUGCAGCUGAGAAGUCAUUGAGGUUGGCAGACACGAGGGCAUCAAGGCUUAGGGAAAGAUUAGAGGAACUUACCCGUCAGCUUGAAGAGUUUGAACACUGGGAAGACACAAGGAGGGGUAGAAAUGGGCCUAGAUAUGUACUGGCCAUGGCAAUGGCUGGGGCUGGACUUUGUAGGUUCCAGCCGGUCUGACAUGCAACAACAAAGUUCAAAUGAAAUGGAGCUUUCUGAACCUCUUUUAUAAUUAUACAUUUUUUUUUCUUUUCCUUUUUUCCUUUUGUAUUUAUUGUGAUCUUUCAGAAGAAGUACAGUGAAAAAAAAAUUAGCUUAGAGCAUCUUCAUUCUUCCAUGUCUUUUUUGUUUGCAAUGAUAAUAUUGAUCAAUCUUUCUUCA